AGCAACAGACCAGAUGGAUCUAAAUUGAACACCCUUUUCUCGGCACUUAAUUUCCUUCACACCGAGCACCAAAGUCGUUUGGCGGCCUUCUGGGAAUACUUCCCCAGCAACGCCUGGAGUUGUCACCAUUUGACCGCCGUAAACCGUGUAGAGCCUCAUGGGGCUCAGCUCCCCACGCAGCACCAAGGAGCACGAUCAGAAACUACCGUUUACCCUGGGAAAGCGUCCCGUAAGUGGCACCGACCAGUCUUCCCCAGUACCACCAGGCCCCAAGCAGCGCUGACGGCCGUGCUCAGCAGAAGAUCAGGGGAGAUGGAGGCCGACCCAAGGCAGCCCCUCAGAAUCCAGUGCCCCACCGUCCCCAGUUGGGACGUCCACCCUCUGCUGUCGCUCGUUCGCGGUGCCACCUGGCCGUCUCCAGGGCAAAGGCAGAGGAACAGGAGAUUCCCAGAAAUUCCCUUGGUCUCAGGGGAGGCAGGCCCGAGUCUUAUUCCGGAGGUGGGCAUAUAAGCCAGUUCUGGCUACGGAACAUCGAGAAAGGUUUACUUCCUGAUAAGAGGAAGGAACUGCUUAAAGAGGGGCACAAGAUCCUUUGGAUAACAACAAGGCUGAAGCUACAUGAGGCACUUUCUUUUAAAAAUAUAUAUAUUUUUGGGGGCAGCCCCGGGGGUGUAGUGGUUUAGCGCCGCCUGCAGCCCAGGGCAUGAUCCUGGAGACCCGGGAUCGAGUCCCACGUCAGGCUCCCUGCGUGGAGCCUGCUUCUCCCUCUGCCUAUGUCUCUGCCUCUCUUUCUCUCCCUCUCUCUCUGCAUCUCUA
Molecule: long non-coding RNA, 816 nt
Filed under: Canis lupus familiaris (dog)
Lineage: Eukaryota; Metazoa; Chordata; Mammalia; Carnivora; Canidae
Description: lncRNA (ENSCAFG00845021805.1)
Source: RNAcentral